GGCCCCUUAGCUCAGCUGGAUAGAGCAUCCGCCUUCUAAGCGGACGGCCGAGGGUUCGAAUCCUUCAGGGGCCGCCA
This 77-nucleotide transfer RNA is filed under the name Rhodovulum sp. RNAcentral's name for it is "tRNA-Arg". It matches the Rfam family "tRNA". From Rfam's summary of the family: Transfer RNA (tRNA) molecules are approximately 80 nucleotides in length. Their secondary structure includes four short double-helical elements and three loops (D, anti-codon, and T loops). The record is from RNAcentral. Lineage: Bacteria; Pseudomonadati; Pseudomonadota; Alphaproteobacteria; Rhodobacterales; Paracoccaceae. RNAcentral also lists the same sequence under 11 other names.